GACGAACGCUGGCGGCGUGCCUAAUACAUGCAAGUAGAACGCUGAAGGAGGAGCUUGCUUCUCUGGAUGAGUUGCGAACGGGUGAGUAACGCGUAGGUAACCUGCCUGGUAGCGGGGGAUAACUAUUGGAAACGAUAGCUAAUACCGCAUAAUAGUAGAUGUUGCAUGACAUUUGCUUAAAAGGUGCAAUUGCAUCACUACCAGAUGGACCUGCGUUGUAUUAGCUAGUUGGUGGGGUAACGGCUCACCAAGGCGACGAUACAUAGCCGACCUGAGAGGGUGAUCGGCCACACUGGGACUGGGACACGGCCCAGACUCCUACGGGAGGCAGCAGUAGGGAAUCUUCGGCAAUGGACGGAAGUCUGACCGAGCAACGCCGCGUGAGUGAAGAAGGUUUUCGGAUCGUAAAGCUCUGUUGUAAGAGAAGAACGAGUGUGAGAGUGGAAAGUUCGCACUGUGACGGUAUCUGACCAGAAAGGGACGGCUAACUACGUG
This 495-nucleotide ribosomal RNA is filed under the name uncultured bacterium. RNAcentral describes it as "partial 16S ribosomal RNA". It matches the Rfam family "Bacterial small subunit ribosomal RNA", at positions 28 to 507 of the family's 1533-position model. The record is from RNAcentral.